AACAAACGCUGGCGGCGUGCUUCAUACAUGCAAGUCGGACGAGAAAGUACUUCGGUACGAGUAGAGUGGCGCACGGGUGAGUAACGCGUAGGUAACCUGCCUAAUAGAGAUGGAUAACGCAGCGAAAGUUGUGCUAAUACAUCAUAAGCUUUAUGAGAGGGGACGAUUAUAGAGGGAAGGUGGCCUCUGACACAAGCUACCGCUAUUAGAUGGGCCUGCGUUAGAUUAGCUAGUAGGUGUGGUAACGGCGCACCUAGGCGAUGAUCUAUAGCUGGUCUGAGAGGAUGAUCAGCCACACUGGAACUGAGAUACGGUCCAGACUCCUACGGGAGGCAGCAGUAGGGAAUUUUGCGCAAUGGGGGCAACCCUGACGCAGCAACGCCGCGUGAGUGAAGAAGGCCUUCGGGUUGUAAAGCUCUGUUUAUGGGGAAGAAGUUUAUUUGUGCUAAUAUCGCAAGUUGAUGACGGUACCCGUGGAGGAAGCACCGGCUAACUCCGU
This 499-nucleotide ribosomal RNA is filed under the name uncultured delta proteobacterium. Its description in RNAcentral is "bacterial SSU rRNA". It matches the Rfam family "Bacterial small subunit ribosomal RNA", at positions 29 to 506 of the family's 1533-position model. The record is from RNAcentral. Lineage: Bacteria; Deltaproteobacteria.